Mangifera indica (mango) is the source of this 2363-nucleotide long non-coding RNA. RefSeq lists it as uncharacterized. NCBI's taxonomy places the organism in Eukaryota, Viridiplantae, Streptophyta, Magnoliopsida, Sapindales, Anacardiaceae. The transcript is spliced from 2 exons. The record is from RefSeq and is a predicted model, not a curated record.
GAGGGUUUAGUGCCUGACUGAGAAACAAUGCAUACUCUUCUGUGUUGUUUGGCAAGCCAAUCUUACUUGCUCAUGUUUUUAAGUGGGAUUGAUAAACUAGUUUCUAAUAGUGAUACUUUGGAUUCAUCUAUGUAUAACAUACUAAUCAAUAGUCUCUGGAAAGAGGGUCUAAAAAGUGAGGCUUCCCGAGUAUUGGAUCUGAUGUUAGAAAAAUGUUGGGUGCCAGAUGCUACAACUCACGGACUGUUGGUUGGGUCUUUUAUCAAAAGAGAUACAGAUGGUGAAACACUUGCAUAUGAGGAUUCCAUGCAAGAUAGUGUUAGCAACAUUCUUGCUGAGGGAUUGGGAAAUACAUGACAAUUAAACUGUAAUUAGAAAGUUUCUAAAUUACCCUAGUGGAAAACUCGCCAUGAUGGGAUGUAAGCUUCUUCAGGAUCUAAUUUUGCAGCUUUGGUCGAGUUGCCUGAAAAAUUAGUCUAUAAUGGCAUUAGAUUGUAAACAUGCCAGAUUAUUUGUUCUUUACCCAGCCAGCUUAUAAAUGUUGUGGCAUCAUAAGCUUUUUGGUCCACUGUAUUUUUUUUGACUCACAUUUAUGUGUCCCGCUGGAAGAAAAAUCAAAAGAAGAAAUUAUCUCCCAAGACACAUGGCAGAUAAAGGAGAGGAGCAAGUGGCAGUUUCUAAACCCCCUGGUCCACCACAAACAAAAGCAACAGAUGACAAACAUGAGGAGACUGAAGCUGUGAUGGAACAGGAGGCAAAUAAAAGGGGAGAAGAAGGGCAAGAGUCAACUUAGAGAAAGAAAUUGAAGAAGUUGAAGGAGAGUUACAGGUCUCUCAAAAAAACUGCAUUGCACUUUGAUGUAUUUUGUGUAAUGCGAACCAGCUUGUAUUUCAAGCAUUCAGAAAACUGAUGGGAAUCUAAUCACAAAAGUCUACCGUUGCAGGCCCAAAGGGAAGAAUCCAGGAGGCAGUCCAAUGGGUGUGAAUGUUAGCCCUGCUGAGAGCAAAAGUAAUGACCGAAUGUGUGGGGCUGUUUGGACAGUUCACCAGAGCAGCUGAAAUUAGUUGAAGUUUUCCUUCCAGAAUUCAGAGACAAGAAUCCUUAGUGGUGGGGUCCAUUUACGGUUAGAGGGCUGCACAUAUAUUGUGGGAUGCAUGCCAAAGAAAGGGGGAUUUUUAUUCAGUUAUCACUAUUUGUAGUUAGUAAGAAUAUCGGAGAGGGCUGGCUCUCGAAACUUAGCUGUGUUAACUUUUCUUUUACUGUUGCUCUUUGUUAUUGCUCUUGGGGGUUUUUGUUUUCCAGAUUAUCCAGUUGUUGCAGUCUUGAAUCAACGCUGUAGCUAUUUUCCUCAUUAUGGUUACGGGAUGAAAUGUUAUAGCUGUUCUGUUUCCAAUUUCAUUACAAUCUUGUUCAAUCAUAAAUGAUGAAAUGGUACAUUGAGAGUGAAAUUGUAUCAGUGACUUCCCUAAUUCCUUGUUUGGCUGCGAGAAAAUUGGGGCUGUUAAUUGGGCUAAUAACUAGGAAGAAACUGGGAUUGUUGAACCUGUUGGAAGGAGUUGUGCCUGGAUCCUGCUGGAGCUGCUGAGUGCUGCUGGGAACCAUUAGCAAGGAGGACUGAAAUCCAUUCAUUCGGGUUUGCAACAAAAACUUGUAUUGAAACUUUAAUGUAAACUUGUUCUCAUUACAGAAAAUUAAUAAAGACUACAUUUCCAGUAUUUUUUCUGAGUUACAUUUCUAAUAUAUGUUUCUGCUAUUUACAUUGCUGAGAUUGAUUGUGUUGGUUUGAGUUGACUGCUGCGUGGACAUAUUGCUGGAAAAGUGUUGUGUUGCUGCUGGAUUUCUUCUUGUGUGUUGCUGGAGCUGUUGGGAAGGUUCUGGUGUCCGAAGAAUGAUUGAGCGGAAGGUGAAGUAGAGAAGGUUCUGUGCAGAAGAAAACCCAGGUGCGCAUCACUUUCACACAUAUCAAGCAGUGCCCUAAUAAGUUUGAAUUGGUAUCCCCUUUGUCUAUCAAACUAUGUGGAAGAUUAUAAUCAUGCUUUUUUCCGUAGCAUGAAGUGGGCAAAAAGAUUAUAAUCAGCAAAGGAUUGAGGUUCGAGGGAAGCUGGACUUGCAACCUGCAGUCCAGAGAUUGUUGACCAUUAUUUAGCAGCUGAAGUUCAUUCUCCGACAGUAAGAUUGCUGUUGAACUCCAUCCAACGACAGUUGCCACAGAAGCAGUUUUCAUCAAGUUCUAUUCAUUGAUGGAAACUUCUACCAGCAACUUUGUUGAAGAGUGACUUAGUACAAGUUUUCAUCAGCUGAAAUUCUCACCAAGGAAAUGGAAAUUGAAGAUUCAAUGAAUAUUUAUGGGUUGUUUUGUUGAA